UCAUCAAUAAUCAUCUUGAUGCUGUAGUUAUGUGACUAGUCUUUUUGACUUGUGGUGUCAUAGUUGCUCGCAGUAAGGCUACUGUAGUUUGACUACACAUAAGAAUUAAUUCGAUUAUGAGUCUUUAUAGUGGUGUUGGCUGCAGUUGGUUGAGCUGUGGGAGUAAGGUGUGCAUCUAGAUGGGAUCUAUCGACUUUGAUAGAAAGGAGUAGUCCUAUGAGAUUUGAGAAGUUGAGUCCACAAGCCUAUGGCCAUAGUAGUGUGAUUGAUGAAAAAAAUUUUCAUUUGGAAUCACUAUUGGACUUGGGCUGAUCGAAUC
This 319-nucleotide long non-coding RNA is filed under the name Elaeis guineensis (African oil palm). RNAcentral describes it as "long non-coding RNA (EGUI_LNC059508)". The record is from RNAcentral. Lineage: Eukaryota; Viridiplantae; Streptophyta; Magnoliopsida; Arecales; Arecaceae.